GUUUCCCUGUCCUUUUCUCCUCAGUUAGAAAGCAGCUGCUUUUUUGUUUUUGGAGACUCAAGUAACGCAUUUUGCUAUUGUUGUAGGUAGGAAGCUGACUGAGUCCGAGCGAGUGACCCCCCUCAAAGUCUACAACUGGUUUGCCAAUCGCAGGAAGGAGAUCAAGAGGAGGGCAAAUAUUGAAGCAGCAAUCCUAGAAACUCAUGGCAUCGAUGUGCAAAGCCCAGGUGGACAUUCCAAUAGUGACGAUAUCGAUGGGAGUGAUUUCCUGGAGCAGGAUGACAACACGAGCCACAGCGAUCCCCAGCAAGAUCCUAUCUCUUUAGCUGUCGAAAUGGCUGCAGUCAAUCACACCAUCCUGGCAUUAGCCAGACAAGGGGGGAGUGAAAUAAAGAGAGAGGUGAUUGAAGAUGACUGAAGCAUUGUUGGGAAGGACUGAGAUUUGGUACAUCAUUGGACUGCCCUAUCUUUAAUGUAAUCUCAAUAUUUGUGUUUUGUUUUGAAACUAGUUAAUAGGGUUCUCUUCAUCCAGAUUGCAGUAAACUAUCAGGAAGUGACUUGGACAAAAGUUGUACCUCUCACCCAGAAGUCCUCCAUUUUCCUGGUCAAAGCUGCACCUCUGCACUUACCGUCCAUCUGUAAACAUUCCUAAGGAUGCAGUGCACAAGCAUGAAGUAUUCCUGAGUGCAGCAUUCCGGGCGAUAUGUACUGACCAGCCUGUAACCUCAAAAGAAUGCUUCUCAAACCUUUGUUGUAGGUUUGAAGGGCUCUUCCCACUACUCUUGUUUAAGUUGAAGCUUAAAGUAGUCCUGCAAACAGAACCCUGCCUCGGAUGUCUGGCCUUGACUGAUUCUUCCUACCAUGGUUUCGACCUGUAACAUCAAACUUUCCCACUUUAAAGUGCACUUUCCUGGGCUGAGUCGCCGAGGUUUGCUGAUUAUCUGACCUUGAUUUUCGCUACCUGUGAUGGUUUGGGAAAUGAAAAAUGCUGAUUUGUUCAGAAUUACAGACAAGAUGUUUCUCCUGUUGGAUUGUUGCUAACGAAUACUAGAACUGGAUAUCGCCAAGUUGUUCAGAGGUUCAUGGCAGAUACAAAAGCAUUCCAGUGGCAACCUUUUCAUGCUAAUUGGGGUCACCAAAAAUUACAGACAGUUAGGACAUCUGUUAGGAGCCGUUGGUUUGGACAGGUGCAGGCAGUUGCUUGGAUAUGAAGUCUUUAUUGAACUGGGCAUUGCUGUAACAAGAGUGUCAGUAGCGCCUUUAAUGUACUAACGUGACUGACUCAAGUGAAGUUCAAGCAUGAACCUGGUGGAACAUCUGAUUUGAUUGGAUUUGUUGUAAGAGUCUGAUUGCACAUGUAGCCCGGGAGAUUGUCCUACAUGUUGCACACGGAGAAUGUACCCACAACAACUGACAAACCUGAUUGACUUGCUCGAAUGUUCUCAAUUGAACUCUUCUGCAGUAGACUGAUGGGAAUAUCCCCGUUGCCACUGUGCCAUUAAUGAGCUCUUUUGCAUUACACAGGGGUCCAUAUUUAACUCCAGUUCCUACAUGGGCCAAAAAAAAUUCUGAAGGGACAUUGUGUCUGUCAUGUUUUAUUUCUGUGCAGUUUUAAUAGUAAUCAGAGGCAAGUUAAAGCUAUUACUUUGUGUAUAGUAUUUCAUUAUGCAAUGCCCAUGUGAAUGUGAAACAAAGAUAUUCCACAUGCAGAAGCUUCCACUUGUAUGACAACAGAAAACACUGGAGAUACAGCCCAACCAGAUGAGUAUCUGUGCAGAGAGAACCAGGGUUAAAGUUACAGAUUGAUGACCUUGCUGCAGAACUGGAAAACGAUGUAACAAGUUUCUAGUAAUGUUGGGAUGGAAGGAAGGGACAAACACUACAUGAGAACUCCUUGUUUACUUCCACGGGAAGUUUAGCACAAAGGAGUCUGAUCCUGGAUAACUUUGCAAUGUAAGCUGGUAGGAGGAUUAUAGUUGAGGACCUUGUCAGACUGACUGUCUUAUAGUUCAAUAGCCUCAGGUAUAGGUUGUCUGUGCUGCACAAUUGAGAAAGAGUGAAUGUGAGGAACUGAAGACAAAUGGAACCUUUUCCAACAAGCUUCAUCUUCAAGAGAGGAACUGAGAAGGGAACAAAUAUACCCUGGGAGAUGAGGCACAAUUAUCCAUCCGUGUGCACUAGUAAAAGUUUGGCAUUUCCAAUGGAUUUUAUUUCAUUCUGGCUUGAUGUCAAACUCAAAUUAUGCUCCAGUAAGGAACAUGAGGUAAAAGUGGAUAUGUUUGGGUUAUUACAGUGGAUGCACUGCCCAGUUGCAUUUGCAAUUGUGUUAUUUUACAUUCCUGCUCCUGUCUGAUUUCAUCCUUAGAAUCUAGUGUAUGGGUUAGAAACCCAGUUGAUCCUAGCUCAUCUGAAGUCCCAGUGUAGAUUUCCACACUGUCCUAUUCCUUGGUAACUUUUGCUAUCCAUUUUUUGGCUGACUUGUUGGUCAUAAAAUCAGUUGCGAUUGUCACAGUUACAAUCGUCAAUCUACAGUCCUGGCUUCCUUAGUCUCCCCUGACAACCAAUACUCCUUUUGUAUAGAAUAGUUACAAUGCAGGAGAUGGUCAUUCGGUCUGUUGUAUUCAUGCUGGCUCUCUGUAAGAACAACUCAACUGGUUUCCCUGCCCUUUCCUUUCCUUGAUGGACUUUUUUUUUUAAGUUUUGCUUAUCCUAUUCCCUUUUGAAAUCUUGAAUGUGACUCCAUCAUACACUCAGGCAGUGCAUUCCACAUCCUAAUCACUUGCUACAUUUUUUUUCUCAUAUCUUUAGUUCUUUUUCUCAUUCACCAUAUAUCAGUCUUUGAUCCUGUCACCAAUGGUACCAGUUUCUCUCCUUUCUGAAGACACUAGACCUCUGUCAACUCUCUUCACACCAUUGUCUUUGUAGAAGGCUGUUCUCAGCAAACUUGAAGAUCUGUCAUCCCUGAAAGCAUUAUCAAAUCUUUUCCAAAUUCUCCCCAAAGCCUUCAUUUCCUUCCAAAGGUAUGGUACCAGAGUUGGACAAAAUAUUGCAGUUGAGAUUUAAGGUGUUUUAUAAAGGUUCAACAUAGUUUACUUGUUUUUGUACUGUAUACCUAUAUUUAUAAAGUCUAAGAUCUGCUAUGUCUUUUUAAUUGCUUAGCAACAAACUCUGCCACCGUCAAUACUGUGCAUGCAUGUACCCCCAGGUUUUCUGCUCCUGCCUCCUCUCUACAAGCAGCCAUGUUAUAUUUUAUAAAAAAAAGUGUUCAGGUUGGUGGCAACACAGACUAUCUCACAAGACCUGUUUUCACAUCCCACUUUCUGCCUAGAGUUCGUCAAAGUGACUGUGUACUUCUGUCCAAUGUGGUUAAGUACAGUUUGGAACAAUGAUCCCAUAAUGACAUGUUUGACUCAAGAUCCUUUGUCACAGUGACCGGGGAUGGGCAGAAAAUUUUGGCCAUGCCCACAUCUUGCAAAGACCAUUGAAAAGAUAAGCUGCUUUAUACAAUGGUCGGGCAAAUAGAGACUGUGCUUCCUUGAUUUGAUGUAAUUUGUAUGCCAGGGCUUGGGCCAUUCAGUGAGAGCUGCUGAAUGUAAUUAAUCAUCCACGGAGAAUGAGUGAUAAAAAAUAUUAACAGGAGCUGGUAUUUUCUGUGACCUCAAAUUUAGUUGAUGGAUCAAGGAACAUCAGAAUUCCAAUCCAGGAUCUGGCUAGUAGGGCAAGUAGUACAACUGCAUGCUACAAAUUAUGGCAUUUAAUGCAUGCAGUGUGAGCUGCCAUUUGAAUGCCAGAAUUUGCAUGAGAAAGCGCUGGGAGGAAAUGAACCUAGCAAUCUCAAAAUGAUGAAUCCCUGCUUCAAUAAUCAUAUACCAUUAUCAAUUGUUAUUAUGUAACAUAGUGGGCAUAUUAGUUUGGAGCAUCACUCCCAGGGAUAAUAGAAAUAAUGAUUUAAGUAAUAGAUUCACCUUAGUUUUAUAUUUACUACAGUUUUCCUGGCUGAUCAGUUCAGCUAUCAAAGUAAGUGUUUAUUUCCCAUGCACCCUUUGAGCUAAUGCUGCCAAACCUGUAAAUAACAUGUGGAAUAGACACUACUCAUUUAUGGUUUCAUUUGUCUUGUAAUAAGUGAUGUAUUUUUCUGCUAAGCAGAAAGGGAAUAUUCUUUAGCGUAAACGAAGGAUUCAGGUUGAUAUAAUCCUUCCCUGUGUUAGAUGUUGUAUUUGCUAAUUUAGCAGCUGUUCUUGUAUUUGUAAUACAAUUCCACCACCUCCCCUAAUACAGGCCUCAAAUGUUGUUCACCCAGCAAGAUUCUUGCAAAAUUAGUUUUCUGUUACUUAUCAUUUUGCACAGGAGACACUGGACAAUGUGUUAGUGCUCUAAGACACCAUUUUAAUGAGCCAUGUUCUUGACUUAAGACACACUGGAUUUUUAUGAACAGUAAUAAACAGAUUUUCAUGAAUUAGAUCCCCAAAAGAGCUUCCCUUUCUAAGAGAUAAGUACAAAGUACUGUUCCAGAAAUUGGCCAGUAUUAAUUGUAGAUGUUAUUCUGGAGGAGAUUCUGGAGGAGAGCACUUUCACAACCCACUUCAACAUAAGAAGCAUUUGUAUUCGUAGUUGGAGUGUUAAAACAACAACUGUUCAUUUCCAGUUAGGAUUGUUGGACAAACAACUCCUACCCUUUUGGUUUCUCCAUAGUUCUGAGAAACAUUGGAUCAUGAAACUGAAAUAGAAUGGGGUAGAUCCAAUUUCAGAAACUGGUGUGGGAAUAUCAGCAAAGUACUCCGAGUACUUGGUUCCCCUUUAAUAACAGAUAUAAAAUCAACCAAUCAAUUUCUCCCGAUUAUUGUGAAAAACAAAACUGGCCGGAGAUUGGGGAAACGAUGCAGAAAAAGAUUAGAUAUCAUAACUUGGAAUCACAGAAACUUAAUGUUUAUUGUGUCAGCCAGCCUUUUGUAGGAUUAGUUUGUGCAGCCCUGUCUAUGUCUCUGCUUCAACCAUUAGUAAAUACGAAAAAUAUUCAGUGAGAGAGAAAGCAUUUUAUCCUCUGCUGUUCUGGUAGUUUUAGUUAGGUGGGGUAUGGGGAAAAACAGCAAAUGCUGACCAAUCAAAUUGUAUAGGCAUGUAUGUUUCUGGCCCUACUUCAGCAUUGUGGUCUCGGAUGAAAUUAUUUUUAAAAAUAAGUUAUGAUCACUCUUCUGUUCCAAAAUCAUAUGUUUCACCAUAUCUUAAGUCAUUCAUUGAAAAAGAAAACGACACUGUCCUGCCCACCCCAUUGCUUCCAUCAAUCAACAGACAAGGAAACCUGCUCCUCAUACUCAGGGCAACUAAAUUAGGAGAGGCAGCUUUCCCAACAACUCCUGCACAUCACCACCUUCCCGUUCGUAGCAGUGAGUAUAGUCAGAACCACCCAAGCCUGAGAUUAUAUUUGAAUGCAGAUUCACACUCGGACUAGACUGUUGUUCCAUUGCUGCUGGGACCUAUUUCUCAACUUUUUAAGCAAUGGGGACAGUGAGAGAUGUCAGCAAGCUGUCCUUAAGGCAGACUAUAUACUCAUAGACUGCCAUUGUGAUUCUACUUUUUUUUUGGAAGUGUCAUUGUUUAUAAUGGGUCUCUCUUCACUCCAAAACAAUGGAGGAAAUGUCAGAUUACAUCCCACUGCUGCUUAUUCAGCUGUACAGGUGCGAACUCUGGAAAUGACAACCACUGAGCAUCGGCUGUGGAGGAAAUGAAUGCUUGUGGAUGUAGUGCCAAUCAAGUGGGCUGCUUUGUCCUGGAUGGUGUCAAGCUUCUUGAAUGUUGUUGGGGCUGCACUCAUCCAGGCAAAUGGGGAGUAUUCCAUCACACUCCUGACUUGUGCCUUGUAGAUGGUCAACAGGCUUUCAGGAGUCAGGAGGUGAGUUACUCACUGCAGUAUUCCUAGCUUCUGGCCUGCUCUUGUAGCCUCUGUGUUAAUGUGGUGAGUCCAGUUGAGUCUCUAGUCAAUGAUAACAUCCAGGAUGUUGAUAUUGGAGAAUUCAGUGAUGAUAACAUUGAAUUUCAAGGGUCGGUGGUUAGAUUGUCUCUUAUUGGUGAUGGUCAUAGCCUGGCAUUUGUGUGGCACGAAUGUUACUUGCCACUUGUCAUCCUAAGCCUGGAUAUUGUCCAGAUCUUGUUGCAUUUGAACAUGGACUGCUUCAGAAUCUGAGGAGUCAUGAAUGGUGCUGAACAUUGUGCAAUCAUCAGCGAACAUCCCCACUUCUGACCUGAUGAUGGAGGGAAGGUAAACAGCUGAAGAUGGUUGUGCCUAGGACACUACCCUGAGGAAUUUCUGCAGAGAUGUCUGGGAGCUGAGAUGAUUGACCUCCAACAACCACAACCAUCUUCCUACCUGUAAGGUAUUACUACACCCACUGGAGAGUUUGCCCUGAAAUCUAUUAAUUCCAGUUUUGCCAGGGCUUCUCGAUGCCACACUGUCGAAUGCAGCCUUGCCAUCAAGGGAUGUCACUCUCACCUCUCCUCUGGAAUUCAGCUCUUUUGUCCAUGUUUGAAACAAGACUGUAAUGUGGCUCUGGCAGAACCCAAACUGGGUGUCGCUGAGCAGGUGCUCUUUGAUAGUACUGUUGAUGACACCUUCCAUCAUUUUACUGAUGAUCAAAAGUAGACUGAUGGGACAGUAAUUGGCCAGGUUGGAUUUGUCCUAGUUUUUGUGUACAGGACAUACUUGGGCAAUUUUUCACAUUGUUGGGUAGAUACCAGUGUUGUGACUGUAUUGGAACAGCUUGGCUAGGGGAGUGGCAAGUUCAGUUGUAUGGAGUACAGUUAGUCAGUACUAUUGCUGGAAUGUUGUCAGGACCGGUAGCCUUUGCAGUAUCCAAGUGUCUCCAACCGUUUAUUGAUAUCACGUGGAGUGAAUCGAACUGGCUGAAGACUGGUAUCCGUAAUGCUGGGGACCACUGGAGGAGGCCGAGGUAGAGCAGACGCUCAAUACUUCUGCCUUAUCUUUUGCACUGAUGUGCUGGGCUCUUCCAUCAUCGAGGAUGGGGAUAUUUGUGGAGCCACCUCCUCCAGUGAGUUGUUUAAUUGUCCACCACCAUUCACAACUGGAUGUGGCAGGACUGCAGAGCUUAGAUCUGAUCCAUUGUUUGUGGGAUCGGUUAGCCAUGUCUAUCACUUGCUGCUUUCGCUGUUUGGUGGCUUCACCAGGUUGAUACCUCAUCUUCAGGUAUGCCUGGUGCUGCUCCUGGUAUGCCCUCCUGCACUCUCCAUUGAACCAGGGUUGAUCCCCUGGCUUGAUGGUAAUGGUUUGAGUGGAGGAUAUGCCAGACUGAGGUUACAGAUUGUGCUAGUGUACAAUUUUGCUGCUGUUGAUGGCCCACAGCACCUCUUGGCUGCCCAGUCUUAAGUUGCGAGAUCUGGGCAAAGUCUGUCCCAUUUAGCACGGUGAUAGUACCACACAACACAAUGAAAGUUAUUCUUAAUGUGAAGGCGGGACUUCAUCUCCACAAGGACUGUGUGAUGGUCAAUCUUACAUCUGUCAUGACAGUAUUGGUAACUGCAGCUGGCAGAUUACUAAGAAUAAGAUCAGAUAUGUUUUUCCCUCUUGUUGGUUCCCUCACCACCUGUCACAGACCCAGUCUAGCAGCUAUGUCCUUUAGGACCCGACCGGCUCGAACAGUAGUACUGUUGCUGAGCCACUCUUGGUGGUGGACAUUGAAAUCCCCCACCCAGAGUACAUUUUGUGCUCUUUGCCAUCCUCGGUGCUUCCUCUAAGUGUUGUUCAACAUUGAGGAGUACUGAUUUGUCAGCUGAGGGAGGACGGUAUGUGGUAAUCAGCAGGAGGUUUCCUUGCCCAUGUUUAACUGAAGCCAUGAGACUUCAUGGGGUCCGGAGUCAAUGUUGAGGACUCCUACAGCAACACCCUCCCAACUGUAUACCACUGUGCUGCCACCUCUACUGAGUCUGUCCUACUGGUGGGACAGGACUUAUCCAGGGAUGGCGAUGGUGUCUGCAACAGUCAUACUCAGAAUCAUAUCUUACAGACUAGUCUCUGAGACAGCUCUCCCAAUUUUGGCACUAACCCCCAGAUGUUAGUGAGGAGGACUUUGCAGGGUCAACAGGGCUGUUUCUGCUGUUGUCUUUUCCAGUGCAGUGUGUACGAUCUACAAGAUGCACUACAGAAAUUCACCAAAGAUCCCCAGACAAUACCUUCCAAACCCACGACCACUUCCAUCUAGAAGGACAAGGGCAGCAGACAUUGGGAACACCACUACCUGCAAGUUCCCUUUCAAGCCACUCACCAUCCUGAUUUGGAAAUAUAUCACCGUUCCUUUGCUGGCAUUCCCUCCCUAAUAGCAUUGUGGGUCAAUGUACAGCAGGAGGACUGCAGUAAUUCAAGAAGGCAGCUCACCACCAACUUCUCAAGGGCAACUAGGAACUGACACCCACAUCUCACAAAUGAAUAUGAAAAAACUGAGUUUAUAAAAUUAUGCAUGUUUCAAAUAAACUGCCAAGUUUUCAUGACAAAUUUAUUCCAGAAUGCACAUCUUUUUUCUUUAAAGUGUAAAAUAAUUCAUGAGUUUGCAGGGGAGCAAUUUAAGUAUGACUUUGACAAAUAGGGAACACGUGGCUAUUCACUACUACUCUACCCUUUGGAGUUUAGAAGAUCUAGAUAUCAUCUUAUUGAAAUGUACAAGAUUCUGAGUGGGGGAUUUGAUGGGUAAAUUCUGACAGAAUGCAUCCCUCAGGUGAGAGACCAGAACUAAGUGACAGAAUUUCAAAUUAUGACAUCUCCCGUGUAAGACAGAGGGGGAGGAAGAAUUUUCUAAGGGGCAUGAAGUUCUUUGGCAUUCUGUCAUUGAUAACAGUGGAGGCUGGAUCAUUGACUCAUUUGUCAAUCAAAAAUCAGGCUGCACCUCCAUAUUCAAAAGUCACAGGGUAGGUAACAAAGCGGAGGUCAGGCCACAAUCGUAUCAGUCAUCCAUGAUCUUACCAGAGCAGGCUCAAGGGGCCAAAUAGCCCACUGCUGCUCCUAUUCAGUUUAUUCUAGUAUACUUCCAAUUCUGAUUGCCUUUCAAAGCCUUGCUCUGGAAUUUGGUUUUUGUUCUCCCCACCACCCCCCCCAAACUUCUCACAGCCAGGUUGGAAGAGAUGCACAAUGCUAGUUAUGAAUAAAAACUCACAUUCCAGGUUUGUUUUGGGUGAGUGGAAGGAAUGAUGCAGGAAAUGGGGCAGUUCUGCACUGAAAUAACCUAUUGAUUUCCAAACUGGAAGGUGGACAGAAUAAUCUUAAAGCCUUAGACUACUUUUUCAAAUAACUAUAUACAAAGCAGCAGAAGAUGUAUUUUCAUUUGAGUUCUGGAUUAGUGCCUUUUUUGGACAGUAGACUGUUCUGCAAAAAAUGUUAUGCUUUUUGUACAGUUGUUUUAAGAAAUUAUUUUUUAAAAUUUGUGUUAAAUCUCUGUAUUGUAUAAGUAGGAAAAAAUAAACUAUACAUUGUGCUGCA
Molecule: long non-coding RNA, 9478 nt
Organism: Rhincodon typus (whale shark)
Lineage: Eukaryota; Metazoa; Chordata; Chondrichthyes; Orectolobiformes; Rhincodontidae
Exons: 3
Source: RefSeq, a predicted model, not a curated record